This 822-nucleotide ribosomal RNA is filed under the name Leuconostoc mesenteroides. RNAcentral's name for it is "bacterial SSU rRNA". It matches the Rfam family "Bacterial small subunit ribosomal RNA", at positions 56 to 861 of the family's 1533-position model. Lineage: Bacteria; Bacillati; Bacillota; Bacilli; Lactobacillales; Lactobacillaceae. The record is from RNAcentral.
UGCAGUCGACGCACAGCGAAGGUGCUUGCACCUUUCAAGUGAGUGGCGAACGGGUGAGUAACACGUGGACAACCUGCCUCAAGGCUGGGGAUAACAUUUGGAAACAGAUGCUAAUACCGAAUAAAACUUAGUGUCGCAUGACACAAAGUUAAAAGGCGCUUCGGCGUCACCUAGAGAUGGAUCCGCGGUGCAUUAGUUAGUUGGUGGGGUAAAGGCCUACCAAGACAAUGAUGCAUAGCCGAGUUGAGAGACUGAUCGGCCACAUUGGGACUGAGACACGGCCCAAACUCCUACGGGAGGCUGCAGUAGGGAAUCUUCCACAAUGGGCGAAAGCCUGAUGGAGCAACGCCGCGUGUGUGAUGAAGGCUUUCGGGUCGUAAAGCACUGUUGUAUGGGAAGAACAGCUAGAAUAGGAAAUGAUUUUAGUUUGACGGUACCAUACCAGAAAGGGACGGCUAAAUACGUGCCAGCAGCCGCGGUAAUACGUAUGUCCCGAGCGUUAUCCGGAUUUAUUGGGCGUAAAGCGAGCGCAGACGGUUUAUUAAGUCUGAUGUGAAAGCCCGGAGCUCAACUCCGGAAUGGCAUUGGAAACUGGUUAACUUGAGUGCAGUAGAGGUAAGUGGAACUCCAUGUGUAGCGGUGGAAUGCGUAGAUAUAUGGAAGAACACCAGUGGCGAAAGCGGCUUACUGGACUGCAACUGACGUUGAGGCUCGAAAGUGUGGGUAGCAAACAGGAUUAGAUACCCUGGUAGUCCACACCGUAAACGAUGAACACUAGGUGUUAGGAGGUUUCCGCCUCUUAAUGCCCGAAGCUAACGCAUU